RNAcentral lists this long non-coding RNA (2430 nucleotides) under Oncorhynchus kisutch (coho salmon). RNAcentral's name for it is "lncRNA (ENSOKIG00005028116.1)". Lineage: Eukaryota; Metazoa; Chordata; Actinopteri; Salmoniformes; Salmonidae. The record is from RNAcentral.
AUGGGUCUUGUGUUGUCUGAUUCCUACCAUCUAAAGUUAUCACCUGGUGUUAAUAUGGGUCUUGUGUUGUCUGAUUCCUACCAUCUAAAGUUAUCACCUGGUAUUAAUAUGGGUCUUGUGUUGUCUGAUUCCUACCAUCUAAAGUUAUCACCUGGUAUUAAUAUGAGUCUUGUGUUGUCUGAUUCCUACCAUCUAUCUGGCCCCAGUGUCCACAUUGUGUCUCCUAUCUGGCUCGUCUCCACAUUGUGUCUCCUAUCUGGCUCGUCUCCACAUUGUGUCUCCUAUCUGGCUCGUCUCCACAUUGUGUCUCCUAUCUGGCCCCAGUGUCCACAUUGUGUCUCCUAUCAGGCCCCAGUGUCCACAUUGUGUCUCCUAUCUGGCUCGUCUCCACUUUGUGUCUCCUAUCUGGCCCCAGUCUCCACAUUGUGUCUCCUAUCUGGCCCCAGUGUCCACAUUGUGUCUCCUAUCUGGCCCCAGUCUCCACAUUGUGUCUCCUAUCUGGCCCCAGUGUCCACAUUGUGUCUCCUAUCAGGCCCCAGUGUCCACAUUGUGUCUCCUAUCUGGCUCGUCUCCACAUUUUCUCCUAUCUGGCCCCAGUCUCCACAUUGUGUCUCCUAUCAGGCCCCAGUGUCCACAUUGUGUCUCCUAUCUGGCUCGUCUCCACAUUUUCUCCUAUCUGGCCCCAGUGUCCACAUUGUGUCUCCUAUCAGGCCCGAGUCUCCACAUUGUGUCUCCUAUCAGGCCCCAGUGUCCACAUUGUGUCUCCUAUCAGGCCCCAGUCUCCACAUUGUGUCUCUUAUCUGGCUCGUCUCCACAUUGUGUCUCUUAUCUGGCUCGUCUCCACAUUGUGUCUCCUAUCUGGCCCCAGUGUCCACAUUGUGUCUCCUAUCUGGCCCCAUUCCUCACAUUGUGUCUCCUAUCUGGCUUGUCUCCACAUUGUGUCUCCUAUCUGGUUCGUCUCCACAUUGUGUCUCCUAUCUGGCUCGUCUCCACAUUGUGUCUCCUAUCUGGCUCCAGUCUCCACAUUGUGUCUCCUAUCUGGCCCCAGUCUCCACAUUGUGUCUCCUAUCUGGCUCGUCUCCACAUUGUGUCUCCUAUCAGGCCCCAGAGUCCACGUUGUGUCUCCUAUCUGGCUCCAGUCUCCACAUUGUGUCUCCUAUCUGGCCCCAGUCUCCACAUUGUGUCUCCUAUCUGGUUCGUCUCCACAUUGUGUCUCCUAUCUGGCUCGUCUCCACAUUGUGUCUCCUAUCUGGCUCGUCUCCACAUUGUGUCUCCUAUCUGGCUCGUCUCCACAGUGUGUCUCCUAUCUGGCUCGUCUCCACAUUGUUUCUCCUAUCUGGCUCCAGUCUCCACAUUGUGUCUCCUAUCUGGCUCCAGUGUCCACAUUGUGUCUCCUAUCUGGCUCCAGUGUCCACAUUGUGUCUCCUAUCUGGCCCCAGUGUCCACAUUGUGUCUCCUAUCUGGCUCCAGUCUCCACAUUUUGUCUCCUAUCUGGCCCCUGUGUCCACAUUGUGUCUUCUAUCUGGCUCCAGUCUCCACAUUGUGUCUCCUAUCUGGCUCCAGUGUCCACAUUGUGUCUCCUAUCUGGCCCCAGUCUCCACAUUCUGUCUCCUAUCUGGCUCGUCUCCACAUUGUGUCUCCUAUCUGGCUCCAGUCUCCACAUUGUGUCUCCUAUCUGGUCCCAGUCUCCACAUUGUGUCUCCUAUCUGGCAAGUCUCCACAUUGUUUCUUCUAUCUGGCUCCAGUGUCCACAUUGUGUCUCCUAUCUGGCUCCAGUCUCCACAUUGUGUCUCCUAUCUGGCUCGUCUCCACAUUGUGUCUCCUAUCAGGCCCCAGUGUCCACAUUGUGUCUCCUAUCUGGCUCCAGUGUCCACAUUGUGUCUACUAUCUGGCCCCAGUGUCCACAUUGUGUCUCCUAUCUGGCUCCAGUCUCCACAUUGUGUCUCCUAUCUGGCUCCAGUGUCCACAUUGUGUCUACUAUCUGGCCCCAGUGUCCACAUUGUGUCUCCUAUCUGGCUCCAGUCUCCACAUUGUGUCUCCUAUCUGGCCCCAGUGUCCACAUUGUGUCUCCUAUCUGGCUCCUAUCUGUGCUAUAUUCAAUGUGCUGUGUUGAGUGUGACACCUUACCUAGAUCUCUCUUACCAUCAGAAUGCAUUGACACCUUACCUAGAUCUCUCUUACCAUCAGAAUGCAUUGACACCUUACCUAGAUCUCUCUUACCAUCAGAAUGCAUUGACACCUUACCUAGAUCUCUCUUACCAUCAGAAUGCAUUGACACCUUACCUAGAUCUCUCUUACCAUCAGAAUGCAUUGACAUCUUACCUAGAUCUCUCUUACCAUCAGAAUGCAUUGACACCUUACAAAACAAGAACAUAUAUUUUCUGGGUAAAUGAGACGGACUCAAAACAAGAACAUAUAUUUUCUGGGUAA